This 207-nucleotide ribosomal RNA is filed under the name uncultured bacterium. RNAcentral's name for it is "partial 16S ribosomal RNA". It matches the Rfam family "Bacterial small subunit ribosomal RNA", at positions 568 to 774 of the family's 1533-position model. The record is from RNAcentral.
CGUGUAGGCGGUUUCGUAAGUCGAAUGUGAAAUCUCACGGCUCAACCGUGAAAUUGCGUUCGAAACUACGAGACUUGAGUUAGGGAGAGGUGUGCGGAAUUCCUGGUGUAACGGUGGAAUGCGUAGAUAUCAGGAAGAACACCGAUGGCGAAGGCAGCACACUGGCCUGUAACUGACGCUGAGGCGCGAAAGCGUGGGGAGCAAACA